GCGGAAGUGGCGGAAUUGGUAGACGCACCAGAUUUAGGUACUGGCGCCGCAAGGUGUGAGAGUUCAAGUCUCUCCUUCCGCACCA
RNAcentral lists this transfer RNA (85 nucleotides) under Vibrio parahaemolyticus. Its description in RNAcentral is "tRNA-Leu". It matches the Rfam family "tRNA". Rfam says of the family: Transfer RNA (tRNA) molecules are approximately 80 nucleotides in length. Their secondary structure includes four short double-helical elements and three loops (D, anti-codon, and T loops). Further hydrogen bonds mediate the characteristic L-shaped molecular structure. tRNAs have two regions of fundamental functional importance: the anti-codon, which is responsible for specific mRNA codon recognition, and the 3' end, to which the tRNAs corresponding amino acid is attached (by aminoacyl-tRNA synthetases). tRNAs cope with the degeneracy of the genetic code in two manners: having more than one tRNA (with a specific anti-codon) for a particular amino acid; and 'wobble' base-pairing, i.e. permitting non-standard base-pairing at the 3rd anti-codon position. The record is from RNAcentral. Lineage: Bacteria; Pseudomonadati; Pseudomonadota; Gammaproteobacteria; Vibrionales; Vibrionaceae.